Molecule: long non-coding RNA, 10986 nt
Filed under: Nicotiana benthamiana
Lineage: Eukaryota; Viridiplantae; Streptophyta; Magnoliopsida; Solanales; Solanaceae
Description: long non-coding RNA (NBEN_LNC011479)
Source: RNAcentral
CUCGAUAACUCCGGUACUAAACUGGGCAACAACAGAUAAUCGCAGCUAAGCCUCCGGGAUCCCUGUAUAUGCACAUAAGGUGUAAGGAAUAGAGUGAGUGCUCUAACUCAGUGAGUAAUAGCAAUAAAUAACGAGUGAAAAUAAGAAAUCAUGUAGGAACACUACACAGUUCUAAAAUCAGCAGUGAAGGCAUUUAAUAUGAGCUAAACAGGGAAAAAACUGAUAAAACUCCUCUAUUCCGUCCGACAAUUUACUAACACUGCUGCGGCACGCAGCCCGAUCCAAUAUAAUGUAUGUAAUACUGGGGCGCGCAGCCUGAUCCAAUAAAUAUAGUCGACUAUGCUCACUGGGGGGUGUGUGCAGACUUCGGAGGGGCUCCUUCAGCCCAAGCGCUAAAAUAUUGCGGAGUGCAGUCCGGUCCGUAUAAUAUAUCACCGCAGCGUGCAGUACGAUCCAUAUAAUAUAUUAUUGUGGCGUGCAGUCCGAUCCAUAUAUAAUAUAAUACUGGGUCGUGCAAUCCGAUCAUAUAUAUAUAUAUAUGUGUGUGUGUGUGUGUGUGUGUGUGUGUGUAUACUGUUGCGGCCUGCAAUCCGAUCCGGUAUAUAUCAAAUACUAUCACUCUGGGGUCCUUGACCGCUCUCAAUCAAUAUAGACAUGGCCUCUCCGGCCCACUCAGCUAAGACAGGGUAUUCAACCCUAGGUAUUUCUCAUUUAGGGAGCAAAUUACUAAGUUCGGUUUAUUUCAUGAUCCACACUUAGGGACAGGACUGAGAGUAUGAGUCCAAUAGGUAAAAAUGAGGUCAAUCAGUUCAACAUGCUCCCUAAGGGCUCCACGGAUCGACACAAGGCCCCAAACGUGGCAACUAGCCCAAAAUAUAUAGAUAUAAGCUCAGUCACUGUCAAAAGUACAGUAAGUCAUCAAUCGGGAUGGACUAAGUCCGAAUACCCAACAGUAACAUCACCACGCUCAUCACACGACGCGUGUUUCAUCUCAACAUAGCACCGCAUAAUGCAAAUACGGGGUUUCAAACCCUCAAUAUAUCAUUCAUAACCACUAAUCGCCUCAAACCGGCCAAAAUCCUAGCUCGCCUUGCGCUUUUCUCGCAUAUCGACCUCCUCGAGUGCAGAAUCCCCAAUCAAUUCCCGUUGAAACCCUCUUCAAUAUCCACCAUAAAGCUCCUAAGAUGGUCAAAAAUGGAGGAAGUUAUGAAUGAACUCGCGGAAUGAAUUAAAUGUUUAAACCCUUCUGCCAACAGUGGUUUCCGCUUUUGCGGUCCACGCACCGCAUUUGCGGUCACCGCAUAUGCGGUCUUCCGACCACUUCUGCAGUUUCUCGUUAAAUGUCUACCUUACGCUUGCGGCCACACUUCAGCUUCUGCAGAUUUCCCCUUUCCGCUACUGCGGCUUUCCUUCCGCUUCUGCAGACCCCCAGAAGUGAUGCCAAGCUCGCUUUUGCUCUAAACACACUGGUUCCUCAAAGCCUCUUUUGGGAUCGACUUCUGCGGUUUCUCAUUAAUGUUCGAGCCUCCGCCUAUGCGACUACAAACCCGCUUCUGCGGAAUCCCCCCUUCCGCUUCUGUAGCUUUCUUUCCGCUUCUGCUGACCCACAGGAGCGACACUAGUCCGCUUUUGCGAAAAUUCACUAGUCCCUAUGGGCCGCUUCUGCGAUCGACCCAGCCGCAUCUGCGGAACCGCAUUUGCAGCUCCUUUUCCGCAGAUGCGGAAAUACCAGAAGCCUGAUCUUAUUUUUCAUGCAACAACUCCAAAAACCUCCGUUCAACCACCCGAAUUCACCUCGAGGCCCCUGGGACCUCAACCAAAAGCACAAACCAGACCUAAUACUUCAUUAAAACUUGCUCGAAUUAUCAAAACGCUAACGUUAACAUCAAAAUCCUCAAUUUUGAUCAAAUCAAAGCCUAAAUUUCAUAAAAUAUUCCGAAUUGCAUAUUCGAUCAAAAAUCCGACCUAAAUGCCUCCAAAUGACCUGAUACGUUGCACGCAUAUCAAAAAUCACCUAAGGGAGCUGCUGAAACUCUCGGAAUCUCAUUCCGACCCUCGAAUCAAAAUCUUACCUAUAAAUCGGAAUCCGCCAAAAUUCAAACUUAGCCAAUUCAAGCCUAAUUCUACUCCGGGCCUCCAAAUUGAAUUUCGAUUUCACUCCUAAUUCACGAAUUAUCCCUCGAAGCUAAUCGAAUCGUCGAAAACCUAUUUCAAGCCCUAUAACUCAUAAGUCAACAUUCGAUUGACUUUUCCAACUAACAUUCUCAUAAAGAUACUAAUUGUUUCAUUUCUAACCAAACUCUAUCCGAAUUACUUCAAAUUCUCCCAACACAUAUAAAGAAACAUAUAUAAGCAUAAAACUGAGAAAACGUGGCAGUAACUCACAUGACGACGGGCCGGGUAGUCACAUCCUCCCCAACUAAAACAAAUGCUCGUCCUAGAGCAGGUCAAGAAACAUACCUAGAGUCUCAAGAAAACAAGGAUAUCUGCUCUGCAUCUCCUGCUCGGUCUCCCAAGUUGCCUCCUCCAUGGGCCGACCUCUCCACUACACCUUCACUGAAGCUAUGUCCUUUGAUCUCAACUUUCGAACCUGACGACCCAAAAUAGCCACUAGCUCCAUAUCAUAUGUGAAAUUCUCAUGAAACUGCACCGUGCAGAAGUUCAAAACAUGAGACAGAUCCCCAACAUACUUCCUAAGCAUUGAAACAUGGAAUACCAGAUGAACGCCCGACAAGUUGGGCGGCAAAGCAAGCAUAUAGGACACCUCUCCAAUCCUCCAAAGUACCUCAAAAGGCCCAAUGAAUUGUGGGCUAAACUUCCCUUUCUUUCCAAACCUCAUCAAAAGCUGGGUGGAAAAGCAAGCAUAUAGGCCACCUUCCCAAUCCUCCUAAGUAUCUCAAAAGGUACAAUGAACCGCGGACUCAGCUUCCAUUUUUUCCCAGACCUCAUAACACCUUUCAUACGUGAAACCUUCAAUAAAACCUUCUCACCCACCAUAUCAGAUAAAUCUCGAACAAUCCGGUCUACAUAACUCUUCUGACGCAACUGAGUUGUGCAAAGCCUCGACUGAAUAACUUUUACCUUCUCUAAGGCUUCCUGAACUAACUCCGUCCCCAAAAGUAUAGUCUCGCCGAGCUCAAACCAGCCAACCGGAGAUCUACACUGUCUCCCAUAUAAAGCCUCAUAUGGCAUCAUCUGAAUGCUGGACUGAUAGCUGUUGUUAUAAGAAAACUCUACAAGUGGCAAGAACUCAGCCCAAGAACCUCCAAAAUCAAUAACGCAGCCGCGCAACAUGUCCUCCAAUAUCUGGAUAGUACGCUCGGCCUGUCCGUCCGUCUGCGGAUGCUGUUGUUAUAAGAAAACUCUACAAGUGGCAAGAACUCAGCCCAAGAACCUCCAAAAUCAAUAACACAUGCAUGCAACAUGUCCUCCAGUAUCUGGAUAGUACGCUCAGACUGCCCGUCCGUCUUAGGAUGAAAAGUCGUGCUCAUUUAUACCUGUGCCCAACUCCUGAUGAAAGGUCCUCCAGAGCUGGGAAGUAAACUGAGUAACCCUAUCUGAGACAAUAGAAACUGGAACCCCAUGCAGCCCCACAAUCUCCCGGAUGAAAAUCCCCGCUAACCGCUCCAAAGAAUAGGUAGUACAUACCGGAAUGAAAUGCGCAGACUUGGUCAGCUUAUCCACAAUCACCCAAAUAGAAUCAAAGUUCUUCGAGGUACGAGGGAGACCGCUCACAAAGUCCGUAGUAAUCCUCUCCUAUUUCCACUCCGAAAUAUCCAUCUGCUUAAGUACACCAUCGGGUCUCUGAUGUUCAUACUUGACCUGCUGACAAUUGAGACACCGAGCCACAUAACUCACAANNNNNNNNNNNNNNNNNNNNNNNNNNNNNNNNNNNNNNNNNNNNNNNNNNNNNNNNNNNNNNNNNNNNNNAGACACAUAACUCACAACAUCCUUUUUCAUUCUCCUCUACCAGUAAUGUUUUCACGGUACCCGGAUGAAUGGAAUACCGUGAGCUAUGGGCCUCCUCUAAUAUCAACUCUCGGAGCCCAUCCACAUUGGGCACACAAAUCUGACCCUGCAUCCGCUACACACCAUUAUCAUCAAUAGUCACAUCUCUAGCAUCAUCAUGCUGGACUCCGUUCUUCAGGACAAGCAAAUGUGGGUCAUCAUACUGGUUCUCCCUAAUGUGAUCAUACAAAGAAGACUGGAAAACCGCACAAACCAACACCCGACUGGGCUCAGAAAUACCUAACCUCACCAUCCGAUUAGCCAAGGCCUGAACAUCAACUGGAAAGGGCCUCUCCCCAACUGGAAUGUACGCCAAGCUACUCAUACUGACCGCCUUUCAACUUAAAGCAUUGGCCGCUACAUUGGACUUCCCCGGAUGAUACAAAAUCGUAAUAUCAUAAUCUUUGAGUAACGCAAUCCAUCUCCGCUUUCUCAAAUUUGGAUCCUUCUGCUUAAACAAGUGUUGAAGACUGCGUUGGUGCAUGAAUACCUAACAGGAUAUGCCAAAUAGAUAUUGCCUCCAAAUCUUCAAAGCAUGAACUAUGGCAGCCAACUCCAAGUCAUGAAUAUGGUAGUUCUUCUCAUGGGGAUUUGGCUGAAGCGAAGCAUACACAAUAUCUCUAUCCUCCUGCAUCAAUACACAUCCAAUCCAAUUCUCGAAGCAUCAACAAUACACCGAGUAAGAGCCUGAAGCUGAUGACAAUACUAGUACCGGAGUUGUAGUCAAAGCUGACUUGAGCUUUUGGAAGCUCUCCUCGCACUCAUCCGACCACGCAAAUGGAGCACUCUUCUGCGUCAACUUCGUCAAAGGCGAAGCAAUAGAUGAAAAACCUUUAACGAACCUGUUGUAAUAACCUUCCAGACCGAGGAAACUCCGAAUCUCAGUAGCUGAGGACAGCCUACGCCAACUCCGCACCGCCUCACUCUUCUUUGGGUCAACCUGUUUACCAUCACUGGACACUACGUGUCCCAGAAAAGCCACGGAACUGAGCCUGAAUUCGCACUAUGAGAACUUUGCAUAAAGCUUCUCCUCUCUCAACCUCUGAAAUACCACCCUAAAGUAUUGCGCGUGCUCAUCUUGGCUACGCGAGUACACCAGAAUAUCAUCAAAUAAACACGAUCAUAAAAGAAUCCAGAUACGGUUGAAAUACAAUGCUCAUCAAGUGCAUGAAUGCGGCUGGGCAUUAGUCAGCCCAAAUGACAUAACCAGAAACUCAUAAUGCCCAUAUCUCGUCCUGAAAGUUGUCUCAUGAUGUCAGAAUCCCUAAUCUUCAGCUGGUGAUAGUCUGAAUGGAGAUCAAUCUUAGAGAAUGCCUUUGCCCCCUGAAGCUGGUCAAAAAAAUCCUCAAUACGUGGUAGUGGAUACUUGUUCUUCACUAUCACUUUGUUCAUCUGUCUGUAAUAAAUGCACAUUCUCAUUUUUCCAUCCUUCUUCUUUACAAAUAAUACUGGUGCGCCCCACGACGACACACUCGGGCAAAUAAACCCCUUAUCUAGGAGUUCCUGCAGCUACUCCUUCAACUCUUUUAGCUCUGUUGGUGUCAUACGAUAGGGAGGAAUAGAGAUGGGCUGAGUUCCCGGCAUCAAAUCAAUACCGAAGUCAAUAUACCUAUCCGGUGGCAUGCCCGGCAGGUCUGCCGGAAAUACAUCAGGAAAUUCCCUCACUACGGGAACCGAAUCAAGACUAGGAGCCUCAGCUCCAACAUCCCUCGCAAAUGCUAGAUAUGAUAAACAUCCUUUCCCAACCAUCCACUAGGCCUUUAAGAAACACAUUACCUUGCUGGGUACAUAAUCAGUCGUACCACGCCACUCAAUCCUCGGAAUACCCAGCAUAGCCAUUGUGACUAUCUUAGCGUGACAAUCUAGAAUAGCAUGGCACAGUGACAGCCAAUCCAUGCCCAAAAUAACAUCAAAAUCCACCAUUCUCAAUAGUAGCAAGUCAACUGGGGUCUCCAAACCCCCAAUAGUAACAAGACAUGACCGAUACACGUGGUCCACAAUAAUAGUAUCGCCUACCGGGGUAGAUACGUGCACAGGUAAUGCAAGACACCCUUGGGUAGUACCCAAAUGAUGAGCAAAGUUAGAAGAUACAUAGGAAUAAGUGGAUCCAGGAUCAAAUAAGACUGAGGCAUCCUUGUGGCAGACUGAAAUAAUACAUGUGAUAAUAGCAUCCGAAGCAACAACAUCUGACCUGCCUUGAAGAGCGUAGCAAUGAGCCUGACCACCACCGGAUUGGCCUCCCCCUCUGGGGCGACCCCUAAAUGUGUGACCCCUACCCCUAGCUGACUGGGCGGGUGCUGACGACACUGGGCCAGAAGAUGAGGGUUGGCCCCUCUACUGAGAUGAACUGGAUGCACGACGAGGACACUCCCUAUGUAUAUGCCCAAACUCACCACACUCAUAACAACUCCCUGGCGAUGGGGGCUGGGACUGAAGGGAACCCCUCGCACUAGGGUGGCUGGCUGAAGAACUCGGCCGGGAUGAACCCUGAACAGAUGGGGCAUGAAACGAACUCUGCACUGAAAGUGCACUCAGAGAUGGUUGACCCUGCUGGGAGCUCUGAUAACCCCGAUCAAAAGAUGACCCACGGUACUCUAAGCAAGGUGGUUGUGGAGGCCUGAAAGAACGACCCCUGAUCUGCUGAAACUGGCCCCUAGACGGAGCACCACUAGAUCUACCUGAUCCUCGAGGCCUCUUGACUUCCCUCUCCUUUCUCUCCUGACGAGAGUCGUCUCAAUAUCACGAGCUAUAUCUGGUACCUCCUCAAAGGUAUGGCUCAAGACCCUCUCUCGAGUCAUCAGAAUACGGAUGGGAUAAAUGAGUCCAUCCACAAAUUGUCUGAUCCUCUCCUAAUCCGUCGGAACCAAUCACGGAUUAUAACGAGUUAACUCUGAGAAUCUUGCCUCAUACUGUGUCACAUAUAUACCCCCCUAACAUAGCCAUUCAAACUGCUUGCGCAACUCCUCUCUCUACGACUGUGGUACCCAUUUCUCCAGAAAGAUAGUGGAGAACUCCUACCAAGACAACGGCGCUGCACCUACCAGCCUACGCUGCUCAUAUGCCUCCCACCAUGUAAAGGCUUCUCUUGAGAACUGAAAAGUGGUAAAAGAUACCCCACUCGUCUCUAAGAUCCCUGUUGUCAGAAGCAUGCGUUGACACUUGUUGAGAAACCCCUGGGCAUCCUCGCCCGGAAUACCACUGAAAGUAGGAGGUGAAAGCCUGCUGAACCUCUCAAUACGACACUGCUCGUCAUCUGGCACUGGCACCCCAUCACCUAGAACCGGAACAACUGGCUGAACUGGGGCAACUAGUUGAACUAGUGGUGCCUCCGGUGCCUGUAAACCUGGUACACCCUACUCUAGAGUGCGAGUUGAGGGGGUCUGAUGACCACCCCCGCUCUUAGAUGUAGCUGCGGCAAUAGUGGCCGAGACUGCCUGAGCCAGGCCAAUGCAAACCGAUAAAAUCUAAGCCAGGGCCUCCUGAAGACCCAGAAUCACAAUAGGCACAGCUGGUGCCUGGGCAGGUGCUGCUGGAACCUCUACAACUAGAGGAGGAUCCUUGUCGACGCCCCUUUUUUUGACUACUAAAAAAGAAGCGAAAUCGGGUUUACGACAUUAUGGACAAAAACAACUCUUAUUCCCAGAGUCAUAGUCAGAGAAUGGCAAUUACAUGUCGAUGCCCCCUUUUUCGACUACUAAAAGAAGAAGCAAAAUCGGGUUUACGACAUUAUGGAAAAAACAACUCUUAUUCCCAUUUGGGAAUUGGGUAUUGGAAGUUGAAGAGUCACCACCUAAUGAUUAUAGUGCAUUAGGACACUUUUUAAGAAGAGAGAGUAUUUUGAAAGAAAACCACAGUUCGGGUAAGGGCUUGAAAUUAUCUCGAGGGGAAGGUGUUAGGCACCUUUCAAGAUCCACUAGUACGGUUCUUGGCCUUACUUAGAUGUGACUUUAAGAAGCAUAGAAAUAGACAAGCAAAUGUGCAUAUAAAGAAUACAAAACUAAUGAUCAAUUUUGAAAGAAGAAUAGUAUAAGUAAAAGGAAAAUUUUAGAGAAAGUACUUAGACGAAAAGUAAAGGUAAAGGGGGUCCUAGGUUUAACUAUAAUAUGGAUAAUUCGACAUAAUUUAAAUAAAGCGAAAGGGGGAAUUAAUUUGAAAAAAGCAUUACAUUAGGAAAAUGUUAAAUAAAGCAAGCAAAAGAGAAAGAGGUCCUAAGUUUGACUAUAAUAUGGAUCAUUCGAUACAAUAUCUCGCACAUAUUCCCAAAGAGGGGUCGCUUCAUGAUAUUAUCGCAUCAUCAUUGACUAUAAUAUGGAUCAUUCGAUACAAUAUCCAGCACAUAUUCCCAAAGAGGGGUCGCUUUAUGAUAUUAUCACGUCGUUCCCACCCCGUUAAGGUACUUAACCACGUUUGGUCUCGUUUACUUAUUGCAUGCUAGUACCCGUCCCAACCUAUCAAUCCCGGGGUAUUAGGACUUCUAAACUUAUGAGGGGAGAGAAAGAUAGGGCAUAUAUGGAGUUUUCAAAGGAAAAAUACUAAGUGUCAAUCAAAACAAAUAGCAUAUAAAGGUACGCAAAUAAGAAAUUCAAAGGCUCAUAUAAACCUCGUAAACCAUAACAGCAAUUAGGCUAGCAUGCCUUGCAAAUACUGGUUUGGUCUUAAUAUUAAAGCUGAUCGCAAAUGGAUUAGUUAAACACAUAAAACUGGAUAGAAAAUCUGCUUCGAGCUCCCCGGGCAUGUUAUAAGAAACUGUUAUACUCAGGAGGGCAUGGGAGUUUUAAAAGGCAGUAGGAGAAAUAAGAGACUUGAAAAGCAGCAGACAAUUUAAGUAAAAUGCGCAAGAAAGUUUCAGAAAGACAGGAAGAUUUGAGAAGAAAAUCAAGUUGCACGACUAUAACGAAAACUGAAUAUAUGUCGAGGCUGAGUGGUUUUAUGCAGAAAACAGAAGCAUUUGGGUAGGCAGAUUAUUUAAAAAGACUGUUUCAUAGAAAAUGCUUUGGGCAGAACAUUAUUUUAUAUUGUUUUGAAGAAUGAAAAUCAUUUGGGCAGAAUUUAUUUUGAAAGGCGACCAAAAAUAGACUUGAGACGUUAACAGGCAUGCAUAGAUGAAAGUUUGCGAAGACGUUAUUUUUUCUAGAAGGACCUUAAAGCUCAGAGGACUGACUAUUAUUGAUUAAGCGAAUAGAGCGAGUUUGACGGCUAAUCCUAUAGGCAUGAUGUCUAUGCUUCUGAUUUUAAAAGUUGUUAAGGAAUUAAUGAAUAAUUGAGCAUUUAACCUUACAGCUUGCCUAUCGCGUGCAAGUCCUAUAGGCAGGAUUUCUAUAUGCAUUUGAUUACAAAAAGUAUGCAAGUCCUAUGGGUAGGAUUUCUAUAUGCAUUUGAUUACAAAAUAUGCAAGUCCUAUAGGCAGGAUUUCUAUAUGCAUUUGAUCACAAAAUACGCAAGUCUCAUAGGCAGGAUUUCUAUAUGCAUUUGAUUACAAAAUAUGCAAGUCCUAUAGGUAGUAUUUCUAUAUGAAUUUGAUUACAAAAUAUGCAAGUCCUAUAGGCAUGCUUUCUAAGUGGUUAAGCAUAGAAUCCUAUAAACAUGGGUUUUAACCUUUGACAUGUGUGGAAAUAGUAAAGCCCUUCCCACACCCUUUCACUAAUAUCCCCCAGGUCUUUCACACAAUUAUUACAAAAACUUGAAAGAAAGGACAAAAAAUAAGAUAGCUACAUCAGUAUCAGAACUACAACAGGCCCAGGGAGUUUUGAAGCAACCUUAAUGUCCAACCCAUGCAUUUUAUCAAAUCCAGAUUUCAGAUUCCAAGGCCUUCUUAUAUUCAAGGUGCUUUCAGAGUUCCAAGGAAUCUCCGGGAUUCCCGGCAGUGCUUAACACCCUGAAUAGCUUAGAGUAACAGAAUAGUGCAGUGUGGAAGUACGAGCCCUAAGGCAUCCGAGAUUAGAGGAAGCUCAAGGGUGCCAAGGCAUGGCUUACAAAAGUGGUUGGGCAGAGCUUAAGAGACUAAGCAUGAGUGUAAAGGUGAAGGAUUAGAAGAUAACCAAUGCAAAGGUGGUCAUACCUAGCCAUGAAAGGGACUGGCACACCCCUGGCCCUUUACAUGGUUUAACAAGUAAGAGAAAACUUGAAAUAAUUAGGCCUGUAUGAUGAUUAGGGUACCAACAGACCUGAUUCGAAGCUCAACACAUAAUAGGGGGUUAAGGAAGUGGGAUUACUUUGAGUAUAUGUUAAGAACAACCUUGUUCUAAACUGGAGGUGGCAAUAGGGUACCACUCUAGUCCAAAACAACAUUCACAUACAAAAAGGGGUCGGGGAAAGGGAUUAAAUAUGAAAACAUUUACAUAAAACAUAACAUAAUUAAUCAGAAAGGGGUUUGGGAAAGGGAUGUGCAGGAAGAUACUUAUAACAAACAUAGCAGAAUUAAACAAAUGGGAAUGUGGGGCAGGGGUAACAUGCUGAAGUAUAAACAGAUAUAUGAAAAGCAUAAGUUAACACAUAGUUUGGAGGUGGUAUUUAAAUCUUGGAACUUACCAGUUGCAAGUUUCAAACAGCAGUACAAACAGAAGAAGCAGGAUCUUAUGGUUAGCCUUGGCUUUCAGACGGCUAACACAAGCAGCACACUUAGUAACAGAGAAGAGCAGAGAAGAAAAGAGAGAGUGUAUAGUAUGAACUUGUGAAAAUUGUUCGUGGUUGUGUGUGUCGUUCCAAGAGAAGGAGUAGGAUAUUUAUAGUUUGAAAACAAAUGGUAAGUAAGGCAAAAUAUAAUUCAAUACCAAUCAGAAUCAAUUAGAAGAGGGGAGUUCCUUUAAUUAAGGAAUUCAAAUUUGAAUAGGAGAGGGCAUAAUUAUAUUAAAGGAAAGAAAAUCAGUAACACAUGGCGCAAUAAAGGGCAAAUAUAUAGGAGAAGCUUUCAAAAAUACACGGCUAGAUAAAUAAGGUAAAGGUAAAAUCAAUUAAUCACGUAGUAAAUCAAGAAUCAGG